GAGUUUGAUCAUGGCUCAGAUUGAACGCUGGCGGCAGGCCUAACACAUGCAAGUCGAGCGGAUGACGGGAGCUUGCUCCUUGAUUCAGCGGCGGACGGGUGAGUAAUGCCUAGGAAUCUGCCUGGUAGUGGGGGACAACGUUUCGAAAGGAACGCUAAUACCGCAUACGUCCUACGGGAGAAAGCAGGGGACCUUCGGGCCUUGCGCUAUCAGAUGAGCCUAGGUCGGAUUAGCUAGUUGGUGGGGUAAUGGCUCACCAAGGCGACGAUCCGUAACUGGUCUGAGAGGAUGAUCAGUCACACUGGAACUGAGACACGGUCCAGACUCCUACGGGAGGCAGCAGUGGGGAAUAUUGGACAAUGGGCGAAAGCCUGAUCCAGCCAUGCCGCGUGUGUGAAGAAGGUCUUCGGAUUGUAAAGCACUUUAAGUUGGGAGGAAGGGCAGUAAGUUAAUACCUUGCUGUUUUGACGUUACCGACAGAAUAAGCACCGGCUAACUCUGUGCCAGCCGCCG
Molecule: ribosomal RNA, 513 nt
Filed under: bacterium enrichment culture clone ALO1_GLFRUDD03FLPXR
Lineage: Bacteria
Also listed under: 8 other names
Description: bacterial SSU rRNA
Rfam family: Bacterial small subunit ribosomal RNA
Source: RNAcentral